Molecule: transfer RNA, 85 nt
Filed under: bacterium HR21
Lineage: Bacteria
Description: tRNA-Leu
Rfam family: tRNA
About the family: Transfer RNA (tRNA) molecules are approximately 80 nucleotides in length. Their secondary structure includes four short double-helical elements and three loops (D, anti-codon, and T loops). Further hydrogen bonds mediate the characteristic L-shaped molecular structure. tRNAs have two regions of fundamental functional importance: the anti-codon, which is responsible for specific mRNA codon recognition, and the 3' end, to which the tRNAs corresponding amino acid is attached (by aminoacyl-tRNA synthetases). tRNAs cope with the degeneracy of the genetic code in two manners: having more than one tRNA (with a specific anti-codon) for a particular amino acid; and 'wobble' base-pairing, i.e. permitting non-standard base-pairing at the 3rd anti-codon position.
Source: RNAcentral
GCCCGGCUGGCGGAAUUGGUAGACGCGCUACAUUCAGGGUGUAGUGCCUGCAAGGGCGUGCAGGUUCGAGUCCUGCGCCGGGCAC